UAUGAAGGCGGGCUGGAACCUCUCGGGGUUACAGCCUUGCUGAAUUAUUCACCCUUGUCUUUUGCGUACUUCUUGUUUCCUUGGUGGGUUCGCCCACCACUAGGACAAACAUAAACCUUUUGUAAUUGCAAUCAGCGUCAGUAACAAAUUAAUAAUUACAACUUUCAACAACGGAUCUCUUGGUUCUGGCAUCGAUGAAGAACGCAGCGAAAUGCGAUAAGUAGUGUGAAUUGCAGAAUUCAGUGAAUCAUCGAAUCUUUGAACGCACAUUGCGCCCUUUGGUAUUCCAAAGGGCAUGCCUGUUCGAGCGUCAUUUGUACCCUCAAGCUUUGCUUGGUGUUGGGCGUCUUGUCUCUAGCUUUGCUGGAGACUCGCCUUAAAGUAAUUGGCAGCCGGCCUACUGGUUUCGGAGCGCAGCACAAGUCGCACUCUCUAUCAGCAAAGGUCUAGCAUCCAUUAAGCCUUUUUUUCAACUUUUGACCUCGGAUCAGGUAGGGAUACCCGCUGAACUUAAGCAUAUC
Molecule: ribosomal RNA, 521 nt
Filed under: Alternaria alternata
Lineage: Eukaryota; Fungi; Ascomycota; Dothideomycetes; Pleosporales; Pleosporaceae
Description: eukaryotic LSU rRNA
Rfam family: 5.8S ribosomal RNA (bases 160-313)
Source: RNAcentral